UACGUAGGGCGCAAGCGUUGUCCGGAAUUAUUGGGCGUAAAGAGCUCGUAGGCGGCUUGUUGCGUCGGUUGUGAAAGCCCGGGGCUUAACCCCGGGUCUGCAGUCGAUACGGGCAGGCUAGAGUGUGGUAGGGGAGAUCGGAAUUCCUGGUGUAGCGGUGAAAUGCGCAGAUAUCAGGAGGAACACCGGUGGCGAAGGCGGAUCUCUGGGCCAUUACUGACGCUGAGGAGCGAAGGCGUGGGGAGCGAACAGG
RNAcentral lists this ribosomal RNA (253 nucleotides) under uncultured bacterium. Its description in RNAcentral is "partial 16S ribosomal RNA". It matches the Rfam family "Bacterial small subunit ribosomal RNA", at positions 524 to 776 of the family's 1533-position model. The record is from RNAcentral.